AAAAAAUAUAAAUAAACAUUUAUGUAAUACUAAUCUGAACUAUUGGGCAGCCUGCUGAGAACAGAGUGCUCUGGCUUGUGUUCACACUCAAAGUCAAGAUGAACAAAGGCCCUUUCGACUUCUGGAAGCUUCUCAAUUUUGUUCUGCAAAGUUUCUCCAAUUGCAUGUGCCUCCUUAAGAGGCAACUCUUCUGGUAGUUCAAUGUCAACCUCUACAAAGUAAAGAACGCCAAAGGUGUAAGCGCGGACAGUGUCAAUGCGCUUAACUUGAGGAUGCCUUAUGACAAGAUAUGUCAACUUUUGCAGGACUUCAGGAGGGGCUGAUUGUCCAACAAGUGAAACUGCAUUUUCCAUGACAGUUCCAGACCAAUUUGAAAUUGUGUAAAUGGCAAGUAAAAUAGCACCAGUAGGGUCUAUCCACCAGUAGAACUCAUCACCAAGAACAGCUGCAACUAAUCCUACUACAUUUGUUACCACAUCAAAAUAGUGAUCCUUUGCAUAGGCACGGACAAUCUUGUUUCCUGACCUUUUACAAUAAAGCCAUAGUGCCAGCUUCACCACAGUGGCAGUGAUCAUUAUUGUGUAAAGCCACACCAAUUGAUCUGAGGACAUCUUUGCAGUAGGCUCAUCUUUAAUUAGUUCUUCAACAGCCUGGACCAAUAUUUGAAAGCCAAGGGUAGCCAUGACAGCAGCAAAGAUGAUUAUGCC
RNAcentral lists this unclassified non-coding RNA (707 nucleotides) under Hevea brasiliensis (rubber tree). The record is from RNAcentral. Lineage: Eukaryota; Viridiplantae; Streptophyta; Magnoliopsida; Malpighiales; Euphorbiaceae.